UGUCCCAUUGCUUCAUUGCUAAAGAUAAGUUGGGUCUGGGUAGCUUUCAUCAAGGUGAAGCUACCUGGCAUUCUGCGCGUUCUUAGCAUCCCUCAAGGGGAUAGAGAGGCCAAAUGCCUGAGGCCGUUUUCUCUAGGUCUAAAGAGCCGGACACCUAAGUGUUGUCGGGUGUUAGCUAAAGAGCUGGACCAUGCAUGGGGUCUGGGGAGAGGCACUGGUUCUGGAGCCCAUGUUGGAGAACUGCAGGAGCUAAAGGAUGAGGUGGUGUGUUUGUAAUGGUGGCAUAAGAGGAUGUUGAUCACAAAAGCUAACAUACAUGGAGCUCCAGAUGGCGCAGGUGCUACGCAGCAUGUUUUACCUUCUGGAAAACUCCUACUUACCCUCUGUCUGGGCUGCAGAUCCACCACCUGCUGUAAAGGCUGCAGGUGCCAGAAGCCUCCUUCCUUAGAUCCCUCUGGGGCUAGACUAUGUAAGUGACUCCCCGACCCCAAUUUUCACCCAACAUUCAACCAUCUCAUAAUGCAAAAUGAAUUUAGUUCAUCUGGAGGAGUCCACUAAGUCUUAGUAGUUCUAACAUUGUUCAAAGGGCCAAAGUCCAACGUAUGCCUUGAGAUGUGAGGUAAUCUCUCAAUUGUAAGCCCCAUAAAAGAGUUUUCAUCUUUUCUGUUUACAGUGGCACUGAGUAAACAUCCCUAUUCCAAAGAGAGGAUACCAAGGGAACAUCAGACCAAAACAAUCCCAAAGCCCCGUCACAUGUGAACACCAGGGUUCAGGUCUACAAAAACGGCAACUGUUCCCAUACCAACCAUUCACCCGCUCCUCCAGGACUCUGGAAAAGGGGAAGGUUCCCAAAUGUUGUGGAGAAUCGUCACAAAGGCUAGACGUAGCAGUGAUGUCUGGGGUCCUUCCCACUAACUUGUAAGCUGACUGGGACCAGGAACUUCGUUGCCUCUGUCUUUGGAGGCCCCGUGCCUGGCACACGAACUCUGGGUCCGCAGCUGCUGCGGGGAAUCCAGGAGUGUUAGCCAGGCUCUACUCACAGCAGUCGGAGCCUCAGAAAUAUAACAGGGAGUUGAAACCAGCUUUAAAGAUAAAGUCUGCUCUUUGCGCUUAAAGCAAACAAAUGGGAUGAUUCCAAAGAAGUCUCCGUGUGCCUUUUCCAAUCUGGUCGUUCAUUGACGAGAAGAGAUGGACACAUUUGCUUCCUCCAUUAAACUCGGAAUGAGAAACUUGUGGAGAGAACUCUCUUUUUUCUUUCUUCUGGGUGAGUGAAGAGUUCUGCCCUGGACACACCCCUCAGCCAGAGACUUCCGCAGAGCCUGCUGCACCGCCCCCCAUGGAGAGUGACUGGAAGUACAGAGAGCUGGAGCCCUGGAGCCACGUUGCCACCCUGAGCAGAGAGCUUGGAGCUAUUAGGACCUUUAUGGGAAGCCUGAUAAAUGAAACUAACCUGGUAAAAGACAAGGACAGGACCCAAGACGCCGUGAGGGCGUCUAAACCUGGAAUCUACGUCUGAAUCCAGACCUGGCCUCCUCGAUUGUAUCUGUGCCCAAAGUUCUUUUCCUUAAGCCCUUCUGAGUUGCUUUCAACUGACUUUGUUCUAACUAGAGUCCAACUACCAGGUUUUAAAGCUACUCAUUCGGAGCCCCCCGAGCCCCCCGCCUCGUUUUAUUUGCCAAAGUCCCUGGAGUAACCAUCAAAUUAGUCCCAGAUGGUUUAUUAACAUCAGCCAAGUGCUUUCAAAAUAAAAAUAAAAAGCA
Long non-coding RNA from Peromyscus leucopus (white-footed mouse), 1760 nucleotides. RefSeq lists it as uncharacterized. Lineage: Eukaryota; Metazoa; Chordata; Mammalia; Rodentia; Cricetidae. The record is from RefSeq and is a predicted model, not a curated record. The transcript has 3 exons.